RNAcentral lists this ribosomal RNA (324 nucleotides) under uncultured eukaryote. RNAcentral's name for it is "partial 18S ribosomal RNA". It matches the Rfam family "Eukaryotic small subunit ribosomal RNA", at positions 1470 to 1796 of the family's 1831-position model. The record is from RNAcentral.
CCCUUAGAUGUUCUGGGCUGCACGCGCGCUACACUGAAGCUAUCAACACGUUUUCCCUCCCUGAGGAGGGCGGGUAACCUUUUGAAUCAGCUUCGUGGUAGGGAUCGGGGCUUGCAAUUGUUCCCCGUGAACCAGGAAUUCCUAGUAGACGCGAGUCAUAAGCUCGCAUCGAUUAAGUCCCUGCCCUUUGUACACACCGUCCGUCGCUACUACCGAUUGAACGUUUUAGUGAGGCAUUUGGACCGACGCAUCUCAGUUUAACCGCUGGUUUGUGUUGGAAAGACUUCCAAACUUGAGCGUUUAGAGGAAGUAAAAGUCGUAACA